This 301-nucleotide ribosomal RNA is filed under the name uncultured bacterium. Its description in RNAcentral is "partial 16S ribosomal RNA". It matches the Rfam family "Bacterial small subunit ribosomal RNA", at positions 509 to 809 of the family's 1533-position model. The record is from RNAcentral.
CAGUAGCCGCGGUAAUACGUAGGUGGCAAGCGUUGUCCGGAAUUAUUGGGCGUAAAGGGCUCGCAGGCGGUUUCCUAAGUCUGAUGUGAAAGCCCCCGGCUCAACCGGGGAGGGUCAUUGGAAACUGGGAAACUUGAGUGCAGAAGAGGAGAGUGGAAUUCCACGUGUAGCGGUGAAAUGCGUAGAGAUGUGGAGGAACACCAGUGGCGAAGGCGACUCUCUGGUCUGUAACUGACGCUGAGGAGCGAAAGCGUGGGGAGCGAACAGGAUUAGAUACCCCGGUAGUCCCUGUCUCUUAUAA